GAUGAAGAACGUAGCGAAAUGCGAUAAGUAAUGUGAAUUGCAGAAUUCAGUGAAUCAUCGAAUCUUUGAACGCACCUUGCGCCCUUUGGCCAUUCCGAAGGGCAUGCCUGUUUGAGUAUCAUGAACACCUCAACUCUUUAUGGUUUUCCAUGAUGAGCUUGGACUCUGGGGGUUUUGCUGGCUCACAGUCGGCUCCUCUAUAAUGAAUCAGCUUACCAGUGUUUGGUGGGUAUCAUGGGUGUGAUAACUAUCUACGCUUGUGGUUUUUCCACCAGGUAACCUUCAGCAGUGGAGGUUCGCUGGAGCUCAUAGAUGUCUCUCCUCAGUGAGGACAGCCCUUUGAAUGUUUGAUCUCAAAUCAGGUAGGACUACCCGCUGAACUUAAGCAUAUCAAUAAGCGGAGGA
This 405-nucleotide unclassified non-coding RNA is filed under the name soil metagenome. RNAcentral describes it as "partial contains 5.8S ribosomal RNA, internal transcribed spacer 2, and large subunit ribosomal RNA". The stretch from base 1 to 121 matches the Rfam family "5.8S ribosomal RNA", at positions 35 to 154 of the family's 154-position model. The record is from RNAcentral.